UGGGGAAUAUUGCACAAUGGGCGCAAGCCUGAUGCAGCCAUGCCGCGUGUGUGAAGAAGGCCUUCGGGUUGUAAAGCACUUUCAGCGUGGAGGAAGGUGGUGAACUUAAUACGUUCAUCAAUUGACGUUACUCGCAGAAGAAGCACCGGCUAACUCCGUGCCAGCAGCCGCGGUAAUACGGAGGGUGCAAGCGUUAAUCGGAAUUACUGGGCGUAAAGCGCACGCAGGCGGUUUGUUAAGUCAGAUGUGAAAUCCCCGGGCUCAACCUGGGAACUGCAUUUGAAACUGGCAAGCUAGAGUCUCGUAGAGGGGGGUAGAAUUCCAGGUGUAGCGGUGAAAUGCGUAGAGAUCUGGAGGAAUACCGGUGGCGAAGGCGGCCCCCCUGGACGAAGACUGACGCUCAGGUGCGAAAGCGUGGGGCAGCAAACAGGAUUAGAUACCCUGGUAGUCCACGCUGUAAACGAUGUCGAUUUGGAGGUUGUGCCCCUUGAGGCGUGGNUUCCGGAGCUAACGCGUUAAAUCGACCGCC
Molecule: ribosomal RNA, 529 nt
Filed under: uncultured bacterium
Lineage: Bacteria
Description: partial 16S ribosomal RNA
Rfam family: Bacterial small subunit ribosomal RNA
Source: RNAcentral